AGAGUUUGAUUCUGGCUCAGGAUGAACGCUAGCUACAGGCUUAACACAUGCAAGUCGAGGGGCAGCAUUGGAGUAGCAAUACUUCAGAUGGCGACCGGCGCACGGGUGAGUAACACGUAUCCAACCUGCCGCUUACUCGGGGAUAGCCUUUCGAAAGAAAGAUUAAUACCCGAUGGUAUAAAGAGUUCGCAUGUUCUCUUUAUUAAAGAAUUUCGGUAAGCGAUGGGGAUGCGUUCCAUUAGAUAGUUGGCGGGGUAACGGCCCACCAAGUCUACGAUGGAUAGGGGUUCUGAGAGGAAGGUCCCCCCACAUUGGAACUGAGACACGGUCCAAACUCCUACGGGAGGCAGCAGUGAGGAAUAUUGGUCAAUGGACGAGAGUCUGAACCAGCCAAGUAGCGUGAAGGAUGACUGCCCUAUGGGUUGUAAACUUCUUUUAUAAGGGAAUAAAGUGAGGGACGUGUCCCUUUUUGUAUGUACCUUAUGAAUAAGGAUCGGCUAACUCCGUGCCAGCAGCAGC
This 519-nucleotide ribosomal RNA is filed under the name uncultured bacterium. RNAcentral describes it as "bacterial SSU rRNA". It matches the Rfam family "Bacterial small subunit ribosomal RNA", at positions 8 to 518 of the family's 1533-position model. The record is from RNAcentral.